UAGGGAAUCUUCCGCAAUGGACGCAAGUCUGACGGAGCAACACCGCGUGAGUGAAGAAGGUUUUCGGAUCGUAAAACUCUGUUGUUAGAGAAGAACAAGUGCUAGAGUAACUGUUAGCGCCUUGACGGUAUCUAACCAGAAAGCCACGGCUAACUACGUGCCAGCAGCCGCGGUAAUACGUAGGUGGCAAGCGUUGUCCGGAUUUAUUGGGCGUAAAGCGAGCGCAGGCGGUUCCUUAAGUCUGAUGUGAAAGCCCCCGGCUCAACCGGGGAGGGUCAUUGGAAACUGGGGAACUUGAGUGCAGAAGAGGAGAGUGGAAUUCCAUGUGUAGCGGUGAAAUGCGUAGAUAUAUGGAGGAACACCAGUGGCGAAGGCGACUCUCUGGUCUGUAACUGACGCUGAGGCUCGAAAGCGUGGGUAGCAAACAGGAUUAGAUACCCUGGUAGUCCACGCCGUAAACGAUGAGUGCUAAGUGUUGGAGGGUUUCCGCCCUUCAGUGCUGCAGUUAACGCAUUAAGCACUCCGCCUGGGGAGUACGACCGCAAGGUUG
This 550-nucleotide ribosomal RNA is filed under the name uncultured bacterium. RNAcentral describes it as "bacterial SSU rRNA". It matches the Rfam family "Bacterial small subunit ribosomal RNA", at positions 355 to 896 of the family's 1533-position model. The record is from RNAcentral.